UGACCAAUCAAGGCUACAGAUAAGCAGCCUCUUUUUUAUUUUAUAUAGCAUUUAUUAAGUCAAAUGCAAGAUUUAAAACUUUUUAAAAGCAUAUAUACAUUAAGAUAACUGCAAACAUAAUUACUUUUUUUUCUUAGACUUACAUAGUGAAGUGCACAGGCUCACAAAAAUUAGACUUUAUAUUCAGUACUGUAACAUUAGUAAAUUAUUGAACAAUGUUGAAGUUAAUCGUAUAAGUAUUUUGCUUCCCACCAAAAAAUAAAUAAACAAUACAUGUAUAACCUGCCCAUACAUAUAAAUUAAAAUAUAUGAUUUGGAAGGACCUGCUUUGACUUUGUCUGAAAUAUAUCUUUUAUUGUCUUAUGGUAUUAUUUUGUUCAAAUUCUUCAGCUAUACGUUUAACUGUUCAAAAUUGUGUCUCAAAAAUAAAACCUAUUUUUUGGAAGAUGUGAAUACAGAAAAAUAUUCAUACAAUGUCAUGAAAUUUUACAUCUUCUACAGAGUUUUAUUCUCGUUAAAACUUUUCUCUCCUGCUAUUUUUUUUUCAAAAACAUUUUUUUUAAACUGAUAUGAAUGCUAAUGCUUUCAAAUAUUUGAAUUGUUUAUGGUAGUUUUAAAUCUAAUGACAUAU
Molecule: long non-coding RNA, 631 nt
Filed under: Mytilus galloprovincialis (Mediterranean mussel)
Lineage: Eukaryota; Metazoa; Mollusca; Bivalvia; Mytilida; Mytilidae
Source: RNAcentral